RNAcentral lists this ribosomal RNA (205 nucleotides) under Vibrio parahaemolyticus. RNAcentral's name for it is "partial 23S ribosomal RNA". It matches the Rfam family "Bacterial large subunit ribosomal RNA", at positions 23 to 230 of the family's 2925-position model. Lineage: Bacteria; Pseudomonadati; Pseudomonadota; Gammaproteobacteria; Vibrionales; Vibrionaceae. The record is from RNAcentral.
GGUGGAUGCCUUGGCAGUCAGAGGCGAUGAAGGACGUAGUAACUUGCGAUAAGCCCAGAUUAGGUAGUAACAACCAUUUGAGUCUGGGAUUUCCGAAUGGGGAAACCCACUAGCAUAAGCUAGUAUCGUUAUGUGAAUACAUAGCAUAACGAGGCGAACCGGGGGAACUGAAACAUCUAAGUACCCCGAGGAAAAGAAAUCAACC